AUGAGGACGAGGAUGCCGAGCUCAGGCGGCGGCGCUGGUCCGGGCCUCCGAGGGAUCAGACCGUACUCUGUCAACCUCUGCUUCCUCUUCCUCAAGACCUUGGCCGCCUGGUGCAGGGGAGACCGCAGCUCCGCGCUCGUAGGCCUGCCCAAUCCUCCUCUUGCUCCUCGCGCUGCUCUUCCCUUCCCCCGCCCCCACCCCCGCCAGUGCCGCCUCACUUACGGCUGGGACCCCGACACGGAGGUCCGGGUCUGGCCGCUCAACACCGAUGCAGGGGGCGCCGCGGUCGCGCUGGCACGGGCCUCUGACGGGGCCGUCAACUGGAGCCGCCCCGAUGCCCCCGCGGUGGAGGAGGUGGUAUGGCCCGACGGGGUCGACUUCGUCGCCGGCGACGGCGCCCUGGCGUUCGGCACCGGCGUCAGGGACAUGGACAUAGUAGGCCCGUUCGAGCUGGUGGUCUCCGACAGCGCUGGCGGGGGCCUCACAGAGCUCCAGCUGCCGUCGAUGAGUGCUGUACCACCCCGCCUCGCCCAGAUCUGCCGAGUGGGUGUCCUAUCUCCGGCGUUCUUGAGCACCAUUGGGUCGAGGAAGGAGAAGCCAUCCUAUGGACUAGAACAGUUUGUGUGA
RNAcentral lists this ribosomal RNA (627 nucleotides) under Triticum aestivum (bread wheat). RNAcentral's name for it is "partial small subunit ribosomal RNA". Lineage: Eukaryota; Viridiplantae; Streptophyta; Magnoliopsida; Poales; Poaceae. The record is from RNAcentral.